RNAcentral lists this ribosomal RNA (250 nucleotides) under uncultured bacterium. RNAcentral's name for it is "partial 16S ribosomal RNA". It matches the Rfam family "Bacterial small subunit ribosomal RNA", at positions 524 to 773 of the family's 1533-position model. The record is from RNAcentral.
GACGAACCGAGCGAACGUUAUUCGGAAUCACUGGGCUUAAAGGGCGCGUAGGCGGGCGGCAAAGUCCGUGGUGAAAUCCUCCAGCUUAACUGGAGAACUGCCGUGGAUACUGGUCGUCUCGAGGAAGGUAGGGGCAUCUGGAACUGGUGGUGGAGCGGUGAAAUGCGUUGAUAUCAUCAGGAACUCCGGUGGCGAAGGCGAGAUGCUGGACCUUUUCUGACGCUGAGGCGCGAAAGCCAGGGGAGCAAAC